Limulus polyphemus (Atlantic horseshoe crab) is the source of this 869-nucleotide long non-coding RNA. RefSeq lists it as uncharacterized. Lineage: Eukaryota; Metazoa; Arthropoda; Merostomata; Xiphosura; Limulidae. The transcript is spliced from 5 exons. The record is from RefSeq and is a predicted model, not a curated record.
ACGUUCAACAACCUAGACGCUCUCUUCAGUGUACUUCAACAAAAUCAUAUUUUGUGAAUGAAGCUUCGUCGAAGCUAUGCACUCAAAGUGAGGAUUUCACUCGAUAAAAGUUGAAAAUAUCGUUCCCCAUGGCUACACCAAAAAAUUGUUGCAGUCGUCCAAUGAGGGGGCGAAGGUUGACCAUGUGAUAAAGCUCUGGGUUUUGUAGCUGGCGAGACCGAGUUGGAGUGCGUGUUUUUGUUUGUUUUUACAGCAAAGCCACAUCGGGCUAUCUGCUGUGGCGAGACGUGUUGGAGUGUGUGUUUUUCUUAUAGCAAAGCCACAUCGGGCUAUCUGCUGUGUCUACCGAGGGGAAUCGAGCCCUUGAUUUUAGAGUUGUAAAUCCGAAGACUUACCGCUAUCUCACCGGGGGAUGAGAGGAGUUGGAAUCCGUGCGUUAUAAGAGUAACAGACAAUCACUUAGUAUGGUUGAUGGGAGGAGCAAACAUACAUUUGAGAAAGUUUUCGAAUCAAUCCCUAUGUUAGAUCAUCAAUAAUGGAAUUACUGAAUACUUGGAAGCGCGUGUGGCGCUGCUAUUAUACCAUAAUGAUAUAGAAGACUCUGAUUGGUUACUCUCUGUGUGGCAGAAGCUGACUUACAGAUACCCAGCAGAGCGGCUUAGCUACACUGCAAGACUCCCACUCUUUGGAUGUGUGGACCGACGAAGUAAUGAAACGUUUCCCUCUGCUCUGACCGUAAAGCAAGGCUAAGAUAUUCCGAAAUCGUAUGUAUCCAAAUGUUGUGUUUGAUAAAAUUCCACAAAAUCCGGUGAGGUGAGAUAGAGAAUCAUCGCCAAGUGGAGUUGUAGGUUCUUUCCCCCAAAACUUGA